This is a non-coding RNA of Diceros bicornis minor, 708 nucleotides long. NCBI's taxonomy places the organism in Eukaryota, Metazoa, Chordata, Mammalia, Perissodactyla, Rhinocerotidae. The record is from the annotation of a RefSeq genome assembly.
ACUAAGACACAGAAACAGCUCCUCAGAGAAGACAAGGUUUGGAAUCAUCACAAAUUGUAUCAAAACUGAGAUAUCAAGAUGAAGAACAUACUGGAAUGUGCCUUCAUAGUCUUGUGGCUUCAGCUUGGCUGGUUGAGUGGAGAAGACCAGGUGGAGCAGAGUCCUCAGACCCUGAGACUCCAGGAGGGAGACAGUCUCAGCCUAAACUGCAGUUACCAGGUCAGGUCUUUUAGAGGGCUACAGUGGUACAGGCAGGAUCCUGGGAAAGGUCCCGAACUCCUCUUCCUUCUGUAUUCAGUUGGGGAUGAAAAGCAUAAAGAAAGAUUAAGAGCCACGGUGUCAAAGGAAAGAAGUUCUCUGCACAUCACAGCCCCUAAACCUGAAGACUCAGCCACUUACCUCUGUGCCGUGGAGACACAGUGCUCCCCAGGCACCUGCAAGCCUGUACCAAAACCCUGCAGCUGCGGCUCUGGAAUAAGGGCAUCUCUGUUGUUUUUCCUCCUUGAAGAUGUAUUCACUUAGCACCCAGAACCUCUUUCCAAGUGGUCCUAUGGAGAAUGAAGUCUUCUGACAUAGCCAGACACCAGAGAUUACAGUUCAUUCUGUCCAGGGAUCCUAGACAGUCCCCUUUGUGUGUACAUGGGUCAGUCUGCUCUUUACAAGAGCCCAGAGCUUCCCUCACAUGGAUUCAGAAGGGACAGCUGUGAU